AUGUGCUUGAGAUAUCUCUCAGUUCCAAUGGCUGCCAAAUCAGUGGUCGAAAAGCUGGCUCUCUUCUCCAUCUCUUCCCUGCUCCUGUUGAGAGUCUCCUCGUGCACUCCGUCGCCGCCCCUCUCCCUCUCUCUCUCCGGCGGCUCUGCCGUCCGGUGUGAGGAUGGGUUAGGUGGUCGGUCUCCCUCUGUUCAUAGUAGUCUUAGUUUUAGGUGUAGGUUGUGUCUUGCCUCCGUGGCGUCUGGCGUUAUGCCGUACUUGAGCUCCCCAUCAACACAUCCAGGCAGUGUUUGGUGGUCACCAGUAGCCUCCCAGGUCGGCCAUCCAUGGUGGAUGGAGGCAGAUGGGAGUGGAUCUGGUGCGAGCUCUCUUUCCCCAAUAAGCCUGAGGUCUUCCCUGAUCUGGAGGAUGGCCCUCUGCUGCUGCUUGCUCUUUCCAGUCACUUUGGUGGUGGAUGAGGAGCGGGGGCGUUGCAGAUACUUGAAGCCUGCAGAUCGAGUUCGUGCAUAUCAGCAGUCGAUUCCAUGGUGGAGCGACGGCGCCCUCGAUUGGCUGCCGGUCUCCGCUAGUUCGCUGCUUCUUCUGGCCGAAUGGCAGCCGACUCCAUUCCUCCCGGCGUGCGUGCCUUGUGGGAGGCAGACCCAGCUGUUGUUCGGAGGCUAUGGUGUGCAGGUGUUGCGGCCAUGGCGAUUUCUUCGUGCCAAGUGGUUCGUCCCCGGCGGCGAUGAGGUUCAAUCCGGGCGGUGGCUGCUAGGGACCCGAUCGCGUUUCUUGCUUUCAGUUUGGGGUCCUCCAUGUAAAAGUCAGGGGCUUGUUUGUUAUGUAUUUUACUUUGAAGUCCUUGUAGGAGCUUUGUACUUCUACCGCUUUGUGUUAAAUGAAAGCUCGGGGUCGUUCUAG
RNAcentral lists this ribosomal RNA (900 nucleotides) under Triticum aestivum (bread wheat). RNAcentral describes it as "partial small subunit ribosomal RNA". Lineage: Eukaryota; Viridiplantae; Streptophyta; Magnoliopsida; Poales; Poaceae. The record is from RNAcentral.